Long non-coding RNA from Rhinichthys klamathensis goyatoka, 564 nucleotides. RefSeq lists it as uncharacterized. NCBI's taxonomy places the organism in Eukaryota, Metazoa, Chordata, Actinopteri, Cypriniformes, Leuciscidae. The record is from RefSeq and is a predicted model, not a curated record. The transcript is spliced from 2 exons.
CAACAUUUUCAGCUCCAGAGAGAAACCCCUAUUAAGCAAGAGAAUAUUAAAAAAAGAGAUUGCAUUUAGAGAGAGAGAGAGAGAGAGAGAGAGAGAGAGAGAGUAGGCAGCAGAGCAAUUGGAAAAGCCCCCAGAGCGUCUCUUUGUUGGUUUUAGCUGGGUCCCGGCGCUCAUGCCCCGUUCUGAAGCCCAGAUCUAUUCAGUCUGCUCAUCAAGGCAGAAUACUCAACAGGAAGGAAGGAAGCGGCCCAUUCUUUAUACGCCCAUUGUCUGACCACCGGGCUUAAGCAAUCAAACAGCAAUGUGCCGAGAGAAAGAGAGAGAGCGAGAGAGCGAGCAGGAUGAGGUGCUCGGUGGGGGCAGGGAACAAGAGAGCCCAUGUCUGUGUUCCAUCCUGAAGUUUUUAUCUGUUUCUCUGACAGUCAGAGGCUGCACGAUUUCUUCACGGUCACAAUCUGUAUGCAUUUUGAUUCUGAUUUUUGCAACUUGAUUCUGAUUAAAAACAACGCUGGCUUUGUGCACAAAUAAAUAAUUGUGUUCUUUAUUUGAACUUUAGCAUGAAAA